Molecule: ribosomal RNA, 500 nt
Filed under: Didymella glomerata
Lineage: Eukaryota; Fungi; Ascomycota; Dothideomycetes; Pleosporales; Didymellaceae
Description: eukaryotic LSU rRNA
Rfam family: 5.8S ribosomal RNA (bases 158-311)
Source: RNAcentral
CUGCGGAAGGAUCAUUACCUAGAGUUGUAGGCUUUGCCUGCUAUCUCUUACCCAUGUCUUUUAAGUACCUUACGUUUCCUCGGCGGGUCCGCCCGCCGAUUGGACAAUUUAAACCAUUUGCAGUUGCAAUCAGCGUCUGAAAAAACUUAAUAGUUACAACUUUCAACAACGGAUCUCUUGGUUCUGGCAUCGAUGAAGAACGCAGCGAAAUGCGAUAAGUAGUGUGAAUUGCAGAAUUCAGUGAAUCAUCGAAUCUUUGAACGCACAUUGCGCCCCUUGGUAUUCCAUGGGGCAUGCCUGUUCGAGCGUCAUUUGUACCUUCAAGCUCUGCUUGGUGUUGGGUGUUUGUCUCGCCUCUGCGUGUAGACUCGCCUCAAAACAAUUGGCAGCCGGCGUAUUGAUUUCGGAGCGCAGUACAUCUCGCGCUUUGCACUCAUAACGACGACGUCCAAAAGUACAUUUUUACACUCUUGACCUCGGAUCAGGUAGGGAUACCCGCU